RNAcentral lists this ribosomal RNA (669 nucleotides) under Triticum aestivum (bread wheat). Its description in RNAcentral is "partial small subunit ribosomal RNA". Lineage: Eukaryota; Viridiplantae; Streptophyta; Magnoliopsida; Poales; Poaceae. The record is from RNAcentral.
AUGUACAAAAGCCUCAAAGGGCACCAGAUUCUCUGUGAUGUGCUCAAAAAGCAGAUCCUCAACAGAAACCCUAGGAAAGAGGGUAUUGCCUUUGAGAGGAAACUUAAUGCUGAUGGAACAUAUUGGAAGCCCGAGCAGUACCCCAAAACCUCAUGGGUUGCUGCAAAGGGACCUCCAGUUGAUCCAUCCAUGUUAUCUGGCUUUACAUGUGAAUCUCCUCAUUCUUCUGAUGAGUCAUUUGACUCCAACUAUAAACUGUUCAAAAAUCAGAAUGGUGAAGUAUUUGCUAGAUAUGUUGGGACUAACUGCAGGAAUGGUUCCCCUAUGAAGAAAAUCUGGGUUCCCAAAAGUUAUGUUGAAAGUCUUCAGGUGAAUGUCCUCAUGACACCACCUGUGAAGAAGAGGAACCCCAGAACAAACUCUUCAUAUGGACCUAAUUCUUCAUAUGGAUCCAAGUCCUCAUAUGGACCAAAUUCCUCACGUGGAUCAAAUUCCUCAAAUGGAUCAAAGUCCUCAUAUGAUUAUCAUCGUGCUAACAAGUCUGUUUCGCAGGGUAGAGCUAAGGGCUACGAAUAUGCAUAUUAUUCUUCAAAUCAUUAUGUUCAUAAGUCCUCGAAGAAUUUCUCUGCUUAUUCAUAUGCUUACCCUAACCCCUCUUAUGUGAAAUGA